RNAcentral lists this long non-coding RNA (3773 nucleotides) under Homo sapiens (human). Its description in RNAcentral is "HSALNT0362730". Lineage: Eukaryota; Metazoa; Chordata; Mammalia; Primates; Hominidae. The record is from RNAcentral.
GAGGCAGAGUCUCACUCUGUCCAUUGCCCAGGCUGUAGAGCAAUGGCGUGAUCUCAGCUCACUGCAACCUCUGCCUCCCGGGUUCAAGCAAUUCUCCUGCCUCAGCCUCCCGAGUAGCUAGAACACAGGUGCCCGCCACCACAUCCGGCUAAUUUUUUGUAUUUUUAGUAGAGGUGGGGUUUCAUCAUGUUGGCCAGGCUGGUCUGGAACUCCUGACCUCAGGUGAUCCACCUGCCUUGGCCUCCCAAAGUGCUGGGAUUACAGGCGUGAGCCACUGCGCCUGGCUGCUCUGCUUUUUACCCAUAGCUCUGGCUCUAAUAUAUGACACUGCCCCUCCCUGAAUUAGAAUGGAGGCUACAGGGGGAUGCUGGUCUGUUAGUUGACUGAUGCAUCUUCAGCACUUAAGACAGUGUCUGGCACAGAGUAGGAACAGAAUAUGGUCCUGUAACAAAUACUGAAGGUUGUGCUCUGUGCACCUGGGAUAGAGCAGGAGCAAGACACAUCAUUCCUGCCCUCACAGGGUUAUGGUCUCCUAGGUGACAAGGUAGUGCACACUUCCAUAGGUCUUACUCUGGGACAAGUACUGUGCCAAAUGCUUCCUCCCAGCCGCCUGAUGAGGUAGCUACUGUUAGUUAUCAAGUCUGAUUUACAGGUGAGGCAAAGAAAGGAUAAGUAAUUGACCCAAGGUCACACCUAGCAGGUGGUGAAGCUGAGCCAUGGGUCUUGGCUUCAAGAAUCUGUGCUCUUACCCACCAUACCUGCUGCUGCCGGAUUCAAACCCGAAUUGCAUUAAGGAAUCAUCAUAACCUGUUUGAUUGAAGCUAUAAGGGAACUUUGAGCAUGGUGAAUGGGGCGCUCUAUGGAAAAGGGGUUCUGGGAAGCCUCUGUGGAAGGGAGGUUUUGUUAAGUGAACUCCCCUGGUAAACGGAGUGAUUGGCCCCCAAUUAGCUUGCUGUUCGGAUUAACUGUAAUACAUCACACUUUCGAAAGUGAAGAUAUGCCUAUUUUUUCCCCUCUAGGUCUAUAAAGUAGAUUUUUGCCAUUAGUAAAAUUUAAAGUGAUUGGGGGCUAUGGUUACUGAGAAUUCAAGAGGUAGAUUGACGAAAUAAUAUUUGAAUGCAAUUUUAUUUUUUGAAAAAUGUUUUCGAGAUGUCCUGUUUUUAGCCAGGAAGCAAACUCCAGGAAAACUCUCUUUUCCAUUAAAGUGUGGAUGGUGUACUGUAAACAAAGACUAGCUCUCUUGAGCUGCCACGUUUCUAUAACUUAUAGAAACAGAAGCUGUUUUUUUUUUCUAAAGAUCCAAACUCAUGUUGCCACACAAACAACAAAAUAAACCAGUGUGUUCCAAAAACAAGCAUUUGCUCUACCCACACGCACAGUUGGAAAGAUGCAGGUUUGAUUGAAGAAGUCGGAAGCCAGUGAGGUGCAUACUUAGGUAGAGCUAUUCUUUAUCAGCCUGGGGCUAAGAUUUGUUCCUGGGCAGGUUAUCUUUGUCUCUGCCUGGAUAGAGGCAGGGGCAGUAGAGUUGUCAUGCAUUCCAGACUACUAGCUAUGCAGAAGCAGGAGCAAGGGUGGAGAGAAGAAGGCAGAGAGAAGUGGAAUGACACUCCUGAGGCUAGGCAUUUGCCAAAUUGGUCCAACAAGUGCAGUUCUUCUAGUCUCCUAUCUAGAUAAGCAGGAUAUUAGAAGGAAUAGGAGAGGCCUGCAAAAAGCUAUGAUAGGGUGGAAAUAGGAUAGGAGAAACUGAAAAAAGGGGAGGCGUGCGCUCCAACACCUCCAUAGCCCUUGGGGACGGGCUUAGUUUCUAAUGAGAAUACAGAAGGCCCAUGUCUCAAUAGGCCCCGAAAAAUAUUAAUCCAGCCCAAUAUGAACAGUCUGCUAAUUAUAUGACUGGGCCUGCUUAGGAGAUCAGGGCAAUAUUACAUUCAGAGUACUCAGUUUAGGAAGAUGACACAGUGUAAUACAUACAGAUUUCCAUCAUUUCUUUUAUUCCUCAUUUGGAGAGGCAACAGGGCUGAGAUAGACAUGUUAGCGAUGGCUAGAUUGAUUGAUUUAUUGACUGAAUGAAUGGCCUGCUUUAGGCAGCGGGAACACUGAAUGAACAUUUUAAAAUCAGCUGGUAUAGGUCAGGAACUGUGCAGGUUGCUGGGAAUGGGUAGAUGAAAAGACAUUGCUAUGGUUUGGCUGUGUCCCCACCUAAAUUUCACCUUGAAUUGUAAUCCCCAUGUUUCAAGGGUGGGACCAGGUGGAGAUAAUUGAAUGGGGGGGUGGUUUCUCCCAUACUAUUCUGGUGGUAGUGAAUAAGUCUCACGAGAGCUGAUGGUUUUAUAAAUGGGAGUUCCCCUGCACAAGCCCUCUUGCCUGCCACCAUGUAAGAUGUGACUUUGCGCCUCCUUCCCCUUCCACCGUGAUUGUGAGGCCUCGCCAGCCAUGUGGAACUGUGAGUCAAUUAAGCCUCUUUCCUUUAUAAAUUACCCAGUCUCAGGUAUGUCUUCAUUUGCAGCAUGAGAACAGACUAAUACAGACAUGGACCUUGGCUGUAGGGAGUUUGCACUGUAGUGACGGCAAGAGCUCACGUGAUCCAUUUUAAGAUAGAAGAGCGAGCUCAGGCAGAGGAACACAGAGCCAGGAUGGUCCAUGCACGGAAUCUGGCCCUGCCCUUACUUUCUCCAGGAGCAUGGGCUGGGUCCCUCUCCUCCCUAAUCCUCACUUUGCUCAUGUGUGAAAUGUAGAUCAAGUAAGUUCUACACUCAGAGGUCUCUUGUGAAGAUUAAAUGAGAAAAGGCAUGGAAACUGCCUUUGCACACAGCCUGGUAUAUCCUGAUGUCUGCUGAUACUCUUAUUUUUAUGUUCCUUGACAUUCCAAAUCUGCCCCAGGGAGAAUUCCAGGACAGCUCUGGAGAGGAAGUGAUCUUUGAAUCCAACCUUGAAAUCACCCUAGGAGAUGCAAAGAAGGUGACACCAGUUAAGAAUAAGAUGUGUACCCAUUUUCAAAUGUUCUUUUUUUUUUUUUUCAGAUGGAGUCUCGCUCUGAUGCCUAGGCUGGAGUGCAGUGGGGUGAUCUCGGCUAAUUGCAACCUCCGCCUCCCGGGAUAAAGCGAUUCUCCUGCCUCAGCCUCCCGAGUAGCUGGGAUUACAGGCGCCUGCCACCAUGCCCAGCUAAUUUUUGUGUUUUUAGUAGAGAUGGGAUUUCACCAUGUUGGCCAGACUGGUCUUGAACUCCUGACCUCAAGAAUCCACCUGCCUUGGCCUCCCAAAGUGCUGAGAUUACAGGCAUGAGGCACUGCACCUGGCCCAAAUCUUCUCAGUUCUAAAUGGCUGUGAUAAAAACUACAUUGAUAAUUUUUUUUUUUUUUUUUUUUUGGAGAUGGAGUCUCGCUCUGGUGCCCAGGCUGAAGUGCAAUGGCGCAAUCUUGGCUCACUGCAAGCUCCGCCUCCUGGGUUCACGCCAUUCUCCUGCCUCAGCCUCCCGAGUAGAUGGGGCUACAGGCGCCUGCCACCACCCCCGGCUAAUUUUUUUUGUAUUUUUAGUAGAGACGGGGUUUCACCAUGUUAGCCAGGAUGGUCUUGAUCUCCUGACCUCGUGAUCCGCCCACCUCAGCCUCCCAAAGUGCUGGGAUUACAGGCCUCUGCGCCUGGCCUUGCAUUGACAAUUAAUUUGUUUAUGGAAAGCCAGUUAUCCAAUGAUGGUGAACAAAUGCAACUUGACUGUAUAAUACUUAUUUUGGUUUUGGACCAAAGUCACCAUUAAAUAUGCCAAGUUCUUGUUCAAG